This 451-nucleotide ribosomal RNA is filed under the name uncultured bacterium. Its description in RNAcentral is "bacterial SSU rRNA". It matches the Rfam family "Bacterial small subunit ribosomal RNA", at positions 354 to 796 of the family's 1533-position model. The record is from RNAcentral.
GUGAGGAAUUUUGCGCAAUGGGGGCAACCCUGACGCAGCAACGCCGCGUGGGCGAUGAAGGCCUUCGGGUCGUAAAGCCCUGUCGGGUGGGAAGAAGGCCCUUUUCAUGAAUAAGGGGAAGGGAUGACGGUACCACCGAAGGAAGCACCGGCUAACUCCGUGCCAGCAGCCGCGGUAAUACGGAGGGUGCGAGCGUUAUUCGGAAUUACUGGGCGUAAAGCGCGUGCAGGCGGCCGCACAAGUCUGAUGUGAAAGCCCGGGGCUCAACCCCGGAAGGGCAUUGGAAACUAUGCGGCUUGAGUCCCGGAGAGGAAGGGGGAAUUCCCGGUGUAGAGGUGAAAUUCGUAGAGAUCGGGAGGAAUACCAGUGGCGAAGGCGCCCUUCUGGACGGGAACUGACGCUGAGACGCGAAAGCGUGGGGAGCAAACAGGAUUAGAAACCCCUGUAGUCC